GCGCGGGUGGGAGCGCCAGGGGCUGGCGGGGCCCGCGCCCUGGGACGAGCCCCUCGUGCUCCGGCUCUGCGCUCCCGCAGCGCCCACGCAGCCGAGAGGAGUGGGUGAUGACUUCGUGACCUCAACGUCCUCCCCCGUCCCUCGACAUGUUCCCGCGCCUGAAAGGUGCAGAAAACUCCCCCCACCGCUCUGGACGAGACUGAGCUAGGCGUCGAGGGCGGGCGCCGCCGCAGACCGGAGCUCGGGCUCGCUGGCCGCUCAGGCGCAGCGGUGUGGAGGGAACGGACGCGCGGCAAGGCGACCCGCUCUGGGCAACGCGGGCGCAGCUGCCCCGACGCAAGGCACUAGCUGGUCGGGGGCUCGGGCGAGCCGGGGCCGGCGUGCCGGGGCGUGCGCUCUCUCGGCAGGCGAGCGCCGGGCUCCGCGGAGGUCCCUGCGCCCACUGCCUGCUUCUCCGCCCGGCGACCCGGAGUCCCCAGGCUGCGGUGCGCCAGGCCAGACCUGACCGAGGGCGGAAGACCCGAGCGGCAGGGAGGCAGAAAGAAAAGAGUGAGAGGCAGAAGGAAGAAAGAGGAGAAAGAGAAGACAAAUGUUUUUCCCUUCUUGAAGAGGUGGUCUUGACUACUGCUCAACCACAGCCUACUGAAAGAGCCCUGGAAAAUCUGAGUUCUAGAUCUGCCUGUACCACUGUGGGACCCAAGGCAAGUCAACUUCUCCUCAGGCCCCAGUUUCCUACAUCUCAAAUACAGGAGGUUACAAAAAUAAGUGAUUCUCAGGAGGGCCAGGGAAGUUACCUAAAUGUAUGAAUUCAGCAGAGUGUAAGACCACAGGGAGUGGUGGGGGCCUGUGACAGAUGGGGUAUACUCACUGAAUGCCUCCCUAAAGGGAGAACCAGAGCAAUAAUAAAAACACUUAAAAUAAUGGCCAUAUUCCGGGCAUGGUGGCUUACACCUGUAAUCCCAGCACUUUGGGAGGCCGAGACAGGUGGAUCACGAGGUCAGGAGAUUGAGACCACCCUGGCUAACAUGGUGAAACCCCGUCUCUACUAAAAAUACAAAAAAAU
RNAcentral lists this long non-coding RNA (1063 nucleotides) under Homo sapiens (human). RNAcentral describes it as "HSALNT0040764". The record is from RNAcentral. Lineage: Eukaryota; Metazoa; Chordata; Mammalia; Primates; Hominidae.